CAUGCAGUUUAUAUAUCAAAGCAGGUCAGUAUAACUUUUGUUUUGAUAUAUAUAACAACAUUUAUAAAUUAUAAAGACAUGCAUAUAUACAAACAUCAUUGGUCAUAGUAUGUAUCAAUUUAUAAUGUGUUAAAAGCAGAUAACAUAUUAACAUAUAUACCUCAAACCUGUGAUGCCUUAGUGCCAGACAAGUGAGCAGGAGAUUGAAGAACAUAAAUAGCAAAACUUGGAGGAAUAGGAUUUUCAUACUUGAGCUGCAGGUGUGUGAUUAUUAGUUUGAGUUUGUGUUUGAUGUGAAUAUUGGAUAUUGGAUGAGAUAGUUAUGUUGCAUGCAUGUAUUAAUAGUUAAAUGUUAACUUUGACAUGGCAGGCUACGUUUACUCGCAGUGGCGGAGGGAAGGGGACAUGUUUAUGUCAUGGUCACCGCAAUAUUUUGGUUUUCUUUGCUAAUACCAUGUAAAAUUUUAUGUGGCACCACCCUAAGUAUUAUAAAAAUAUUAUAUAUAUAUAUAUAUAUAUAUUAAAUUCUCAAUAUUAUCAACUUUUGAUCUCACCUUCAACUCUUAUUUGCAGUCUGUGAACUCAUUUUUAUUUAGUCAUUCACAAUAUCUUUUAUAUUAUUUUAAUUUUUUGAUAAGUUCAAAGUGACUAUUUAGAUAUAACUUUCUUUAAAAUUGUCUAUCUCAUAUACUUUCACAUUUAUCUUUGAAAUAUAUAAGCACACUUUUUGACCUUACGGUCGUGCUAAGAGUGCUAAUUAUUUGUUUAGAAAGACAAGUUGUUAUUCUUCUUAGUUUUUUGUCAUAUGAUAAUACUUUUCUACUACCUUUUGAGACGAUGUUAUUGCUUUUACUAAUUUUUAACAUUUUAUUGCUAGUUGAAGUAGGCGUGUAUGCUAGUUGUUAACCAUUGUGCUCAAUCUACCUAUAAUAAUGUUAAGCAUAUAUUAAAUUUGUUACACAAAUUAUGAAUGUGGAAAAUUGAUUUUCUUUUAGAAGUUAUGUACUCCCUCGGUCCCCAUUUAUAAGUCACAUUUUGAGAGUUUUUUGUCAUAAAAUAUAAAACCUUUUAAGGUUAUCUUUCGAACAGUUCCCAUAAAAUUAGACAAGGUGCUGGAUUUGAUUAUUUUUAAAUCUUGGAAGAAGGUGAAUGAUUUUAUCUGCUCUUUCUAUGAAUGGCGUGUACAGCCUUUGUAUUUCAUCAAGCGGUUGUUGCUGCUUGUGCCUAUUGUUGCUCUGUUCUGCCUCAUUAUCCACAGUGGUGAUGGUGUUAUAUUAAGUCUCUGCCAUUGAACCUUUUGAAGCGGCUGUAUCUUGUUGUGAAGCUCCUACCCUUUUGCUGGUGCGUGUCCAAAGCUAGUUGGAGUGCUAAUCUUUUGUUUAGUGGGUCUGUAGUUUUAGAAUUAGUGUGGCUCUGCCUCUUAGCUCCCUUUCUUUCUCUUUCUAUUGUAUACUCCUUCCGUUUCAUAAUAACUGUCCACUUUGUAAAAAACACACAUAUUAAGAAGUGUAAUUAAUUUUGUUAACUUUUAGAAAAAUAUUAUUUGUUUUCCUACUUUACCCUUUAGAAUACAUUUUUAUCCCUCCUCAUUUAUUCUUUUUGUAAGGGUAUUGUUUGGAAAAACAUCAAUUAUGCUUUCUUGAAAUUCUAAGUUGACGGUUAUUUUAAAACAAAAAUUUUCUCUAAAGUGGAUAGUUAUUUUGAAACGGAGGGAGUAUUAUUUUCCCCUUCUUUUCUUUGUAACUUUGAGUGAAGUACCCCAAGUACUUCCAUUAAUACAAUAUUUAGCUUUAAAAAACGAUGAAAUAUCUAUUACUUUUUUCUGUUUUUUUUUUUUGAAAGUUAAAAAUAUAUAAUAUAUAAAUAAAAAAUGUUGAGAAACAACCCCUCUCAACAUGGGUACAGUGACCUAGCCCGCAAAACACCAGACAAAAUACAGCUCAUAUAGCAAAAGUCUCCCAAAAGAACCCAAGCGCACAAGAGCGUGCUAAAAACCUAGUAACAACCCUAAGCGACUACUCUUCUAAAAAGGAUCUUCAUAAAAGUCAAAAAACGACGACAAAUUCCAAGCCGCUAGACACCUGCUACAAAGACCAGACCAAAAGCCCCAACAGAUAAAACCAAACCUUGUUGUAGAGCUGAUACCUAAAAGCAAAGAAAGGAACAAAUAGAAAAGACAACAAGGCUUGCACAUGCUCCAAACCCGUAAUAGUGGCACAAAGCAGACCACCCAUCCAAAACUGUGCAUAAACCAAGACGCUGAAGCCGGAAGGCGACCGUAGCCACUACGAGCAAUCUACACAGAGCAAGGAUCGACGAUCAACAACCACACAUGAUCCAACCAUACCCCACCAGCUUCCACCGACACGAGUCCAAACCACGACCAGCGUCGCUAGAAAACCUAAGAGAAAAAGCCCGAAAACACAAAAACCUCCUAACACCAAGACAACCCCAAACACCAGCCUCGACCCCCAAACUUUGGACAGAGUACACUUUUCAUGCACUACAACCCAGCUGCAUUAAUUCAUUCCCAAAACACUACGUCCCAGCAGCAUAAACCCUUCAAAGUAGGGGUGUACAAGGGACGAGUUGGGACGGGUUUUGGUUAACCUUAACCCGUCCCUAGACCCGAAGCAACCCGACAUUAUGCGGGUCCAAUUUAGGACGGGUCUAUGUAGGACGGGACCGGGUUGGCCCGAGGGACAAUAAGUUUAAGACGAUUUGAUACUAAUUGCAAAACUUAAAGACAAUAACAUACUAAAAGAGUUAUAAGUUGGAACUAUUUUUUGGAAGAAAUAACUUGAAAUGAUUCAAUUCUUUCAUAAUCUAUUGCACUUGAGGUUUACAUUUUGUUUGAUCAUUUCUUCACCUUUCUCACAUAUGCAUAAUACACACACAUGAUUUUCUCUUUUAGAACAUGAAAGUGUGCAUAGUUUGACAAACGUUCAUUUAAUUCAUAAGGUAGAUGUUAGACAUUUUAAUCUCAUCUACAUGGUAAGAUAAAUUUGAGCACCAUGUAUCACAUUUUAAUCAUCAUAACAAAUUAAAAUUUUAUAAAAUAUAUAUGUGGGACGGGCCGGGUGACCCGAGUGUCAACCCGAACCCGACCCUACCCGAAGUCGGAUAACUCAAAGAUCAACCCGAACCCGGUCUCUUUUAAUGAUCGGGCCGGGACGGGUUGGCGGGUAGGGCCGGGUCUUGUACACCCCUACUUCAAAGAAUCACUACAUCCCACAGACCCUCCCAAUAUAACAACAAUUAUAUAUAGCCUCAAAACAGGGGACUCAAUUCAAUAUAUUGAAUCAGUGCGAGAAAUAACUUUCAAACCCAGUGCAAAGCUAAUUUAAUUUUCCCCACAAACUCAUUUGAUUCUUUUUAAAAAACUAGUGCAAUAACCCGUGCGUUGCACGGAAUUUUAUGUUAGAAUUUUAUAAUAAAUAAGUUAGUUUUCAUAUAUAUGUAAUUUUUAAAUUAUAAAUAAGUCAAUCGUGUAAUAAUAUAUGAAGAGAAAAAUAGAAUAAAUAAGUGAAAUUGCGUUGUAUACAUCAAAUAUUUUUUAAAACUUCCUUAAACACUACAUUUACAGUACUGGUUUGUUGUUUGUCCGACUCAUCCAGUAUACAAAGUUUAAGAUCAUGUCUUGAGCGUACUCUAGAUAGCUAGAGCUGCAUAUAAUUGACAAUGAGUGAAGACAGACCUUGGAAGGAAGAGCCCAACUGAAGAUAGUGUUUGUCCUUGGCUUUUGUUUAUGGUCAUCGCAAAACAUACUGCAAUUUGUCAUUAGCAUUGUUCCCAUGAUAACAGUUGCACCAAUAAAACGUCCACCAAGUUCAUCCACAAUUAACCUGGUGAUUGCAUAAACUUUUUGCUUGGUCUAUAUUUUUCAAAAGCAUGAUUGGAGUACCAACUUUCAAUAAUAGUUUGUGGUUAAGCAUUCCUGACAUUUUAGUGCCGUUCAAAAAUUCUGUGGUAAACCACUCACCCCGGAUUUCAGAAUCCUCAUCAGAUCGCAAGGCAGAGUCGGAACUCAGAUAUUCAUGUUCUGGUGCAAUUAUCAUGUCAAACAUGUAAGUGUUUAUCAUUUCAACAACCUCCAAUGUACGGGCAAUAUUUCUCUAUCUAAAGAACUGCGGGUCUUUCAUUUUGUGUGAAAGUUCAUGAUAUGUAUAUUUAAUCAAUUUCAUUAAUGGGUCAGGAAUAAUUGGGAUGAGCAGAUCUGGCAGGAUUUGAACAUCAACUCUCCUGCUCUAGAAUCAGGAUGAUCACCAAUUUCAAUUUUAAGAAUCCAAUAUGCAAACUUUUUGAUUUCUUUUGCUUCAUCAGUCGUUUCAGUUGCGGUUAGCCGCAUGUUCUUAGACAAUUUCAUAACUUUGCAAUGCUUCCACAAUUAUGAAGAGUUUACAGUAGCUUCCUCUAGUUAUUACAGGUAGUAUUUGUCUAAAAUCACCUCCAGGUAUUACUACUUUUCCUCCAAAAGGUUUAUGUACGUUCUCUUCAUUUUUCAACCUCAUUAAACUUUGGAGUGUAACGUCUAUAGCUUCAAAACAAAAACAAAAAAUUCAACAUUAGAGCUUCAUCUCAUAUAAUAAAGCUUGUUUCAAGCAGAAAUUUUGCUCGUAGACUUUCUUGCUUUAUAUUACACGUUGAGGUCUUUGUAGCAUCUAAUUGAAUGUAAAUUUUAGAAUGAGUCUGCCUCUAAGAAAGAGUAAUGAUGUUAUGCCACUGGAAGCAACAUUAAUCACAAUUAGGCAUCUAGAUCUAAGUACACGCGGAUAAAGUGUUCCCGAGAAAAGUCUUUCGGUUCCACCGUAGCUAUAUAAAAAGUAGAAGCAUGUUGACCUUGACAACACAGAUGUGACAACCCUCUCAUUUCUUGCGGACUCAACUUUACCACUCAUUGACGUAAAAGAAAAUGCAUUGUUGUAUGUUCAUAUUUUUUUCUUUGAAGUGUUUAGACCUAGGAUCGACUUCAGUCAUCAGAUUAAACAAUAAAUCAGGUGGUCUUUGCAAGAAAUGUAAUUGCACUUUGCCUUUUAAGCAGUAUAAUGAAAACUCCGGAUUUGGAGUAUUUUUAGAUUUCUCACUACUUUCUCCCCGUGAAAGAUGUAUCUUUAUAAUUUGUAUAACCAAGAUAGUAGAUUAUAUGUUACAUAAUAAACUUUUAAGAUGAAGUUUUAAUGUAGAGGUAGUGAAAUUUUUUAAAUUUAUUUUUCUAUUAACUUUUACGUAAAACUAUUUUCAAGUAACUAAUAUGUUCUUCCCUAGGAACUUCUAAAUUUGAAAUUUAAGAAUAAGUAAAGGGAAAAAUGUAAACUGCUACUCUGAGGUUUGGCUCCUGUGCAACUUAUACCCUAACUUUUUAAAAGGUGCAUAUAUCUCCCCAAACUUACAAAACUGUGCAAAACAACCCUUAUGUUGACUUUUCUUUUAAGUUUUAAUAUUCUUUAUCACUUUACAUGUUUUCCCCCUUAGAGGCAGUGGUUUGAUGGUCUCUUUUUGGUUGGUAUAGGGGGUUAGUUGCACUGACCUUUCCCUCAUUGGUCUUUUGGUAAGGUUGCUUUGGUGGAAGGGGUCAGGUCGUUUUCUUUUUUAUGGCUAGUUGUAUAGUUUGGUCUUGGGGCUUGUUUGAGCGCUUUUGUUGCGUUGGCUUUAUUUGUCUGUUGUGUCCCCUCUUUUUGAUGUUGGUUUGUGUUUCCUUGACUAUAGUAUUUUAUAUAUCAUUUUGCUCUCGAAAAAAAACUUAAAAGGAAAAUCAACAGAAGGGUUAGUUUGCACAUUUUAGUAAGUUUAGGGAGAUAAAUACAACUUUAAAAAGGUUAAGGUCUAAAUCACAUGGGAACCAAACCUUAGGGUCGUAAUUUUCAUUUUUCCCAUAAAUAAAUAAUGAUUAUAUAUGUAUUUUUCUAUUUAACAUGAAAAUGGUUUAAUGUAUGUUCCAUCCCUUGAGAGCUUUUAAUCCUGUAAUUUUUAUUAAAACAAUUUUGUAAUUUAAACAUGAUUCAAUAAACUAUAAUUCAAUAAACUAUAUGUAUUAUAUAUAUUUACUCCUCAAACUAAUAUGAAUUAUGAAAAACCACUAAAAUUAUUUUAAAUUUCUUUCUUAUUAAUUUUAACAUAAAAUUUUCACAUAAAAUAUUUCUCCCGUGAGAAAUCUAUACCUUCAAAUUCAUGGAGAACACAUUUCACUACCAAAUUAUUAAAGUCUAUAGUCAUUUUAUGUAUACUUUAUCUAACUAAAACAAUAAAUAAAAAGAGACCGUUACAUUUCAAAAAUGGGGAUAAUUUUCUCCUAAAAUUUAGGUAAGCGUAUAAAAAUUCAUAAAGCAUAAAGCUGACUUCUUAAAUUAAGGAUUUGAGGCACAUAUACAAAUUCAUAAACCAUAAAUUCACUAUUUGAAUCAAGCAUUUUAAUUGUCUCAUUGUUAACAUAUUGACAAUACAAUAUUCACCAAAAGCACUCAUAAUACAACUUUAGAUGGUGGUGGGAGACUUGGGUGAAGGGUGCACCAAUUGAACCUUAUAACAGAGCUAAGUGAACAACAAAUUGUAUUCGAUUCAAGUAGAAUCAGAAAUCAUGGAGGACACAAAAGUAUAGUUGCAAUGGUUGAUUAAUAAGAGUGAAGAACGAAAUACGAAAACUACUCUAUUAUUGGUUCUUCUUCUUAAUUAUCUUGCCAUUAUACACACAAUAUAAAAGAAAUAUUAGAUCUCUAAAUUACUCAGGGAUGAAAACACUAAGCCCAAAAGGAAAAGAAUGCAUUAAUUAGGGAUGCUUUCAUAUGCACAUUCCGAAGUAUGAAUUUGUCAUCCCUGAAAUAUGCAAGCAUAGAGCGAUUACAAUGAGGUUGUUUUUUUUUACAUAAAAAAUUCUAGAAAUCACAAAGAAAAAAAAAUUGAAGAGUAUGUCAUGAUCAUGACUCAUUCUUGUUGGUUCCAGGCUUCAAGCUGGUGAAAUUACCUCCUCAAGAGCUCAAAGUGUUUCUGCUUCAAGACUUGUUAGGAGUGAUGUAGUUUUCUUUUAUGCUUUAGUAAUUUUUUGAUGUAUAAAAAAAAUUGGAGUCCAUAAAUUGAACAAAACAAAUUGGCCAGCGAAUGAGAAGAGUAAUCUACGAUGAAUAAAAAAAUAGAGAGAACAACUUGGAUGAAAAUAACAUGCAUGACCAAAAUAAGAAAAUCCAAUAAUAUAGAGUAAACCUUACCAUUAAAUGGAGGACUUGAACGAAGAUCACAUUAAACAGUACAAUAGCUCAUCCUUGUAUAAACAUAUAUUUAAGAACAAUAUAUCAUAAUUUCAUAUAAGCAUAACAUGAAUCCGCAUACAAAUAAAAUUAACAGACAAACAAAUUAGAAAUAGAAAACCCAAAGACAAUAGAAAUAGAGGAUUGAAAGAAGAUGGAUUUAAAUGUAAAGAGUUAGGAUUUAUUUAUAGAAGACUGAAGACCUCUUUGGAAAAUGACUAAUGAAACAUGCGAUCUAACCUUAGGUAGAAUAAUUUUGUCAAGUGCCAAUCCUCAUAUUUAUGCUUGGAGGAUGAGAAGCGGAUACUUGAUUGUUGCACGACUAUAAUAGCAAAGAAGGAUUCUAAUUAUUUUCACCACCGGUGAGAACGAAAAUCGAAACUCCAAUUUAUGAGGGGAAACCGUGUAGCUCCAAUGAGAUGAGUUGUUCUAAAAAUCUUAAUCUAGAUACAUUAAAUUUUCCCAACAAUAUUUAAUCAUUCAGUUUCAAAAAAAAAAAUGCUCCUCCUUUGGAGAUGCAAAAUGAUAUUUUUUAUUCAUCCAUAUUUUUAAAAUUUGACGUUUAAAAGUAGUUGUUUUCUAAAAACUCUCCUUUAAUUCCGCAAUUUUUUUUACGUAAUGAAGAUAACUAAAAUUUGAAAUAAUGCUGAAAAUCUUUUAGGUUGCAAUAUUGUUGAUUCUUUAGGUUGCAAUAUACGGUUCCAACCAAUGUGCUUGAUUUUUUAAUUUUGAGAUUUAGAUAUAGCUGUUUUUAACGAAAUUAAAAAAGCUCCUCCUAUAGAAUUUUUUUUUUGUUUUUCUAUAUAACAUACAAUCUUUAACGUGAAUUUUAAUUUUCAAAAUCUAAAAGAUAAAACCAUGUGCUCAAUUAAUUGAAUUUUUUGGAUCUUUUUGAUUUAAUCAUUUAAUUGUUUUCAUUUCCUAAUUUGUUUUUUUAUAUUUUUUGUAUUUAUUGUGUCAUUAAUAUGGACCAAUGAAAAAUCAUCAAUAUGGACCAAUUAAAAACUUACAUUUGGAAAAUCAUUGUAACAACCAAUAAAAGGAAAACAUGUGGUAUUUAGGUUGCAAUAUGGCCCACUUUGGUGGAUGAGCCUUAUAUAUUAUUAAGAUUGUCUUCAAUAUUUACCCUUACUAUUUAAUAUGAAAGAGAUAGUGUAAUUUUGAAAAAUUCUUAAAUUGAAGAGAGAAAUUCAUGCGUAAUUUCAGAAAAUUAAUAAAACAUUUUAUAAAUUUAUUGCAAAUAGCCAUUUUUUUAAUCUUUGAGAAUUAAGUAAAAGAGAAUUCUAAUAGGGGACAAAAUGAUUAUAUUUUAACUUGGUUACCCCAAGUCAAAAUCUUGCCUCCGCCACUGAUUACGCGUACAUGAGAAUGAAUGAAUAUUAUUCAAUUCAAUUUAAUGGUGCCCUUUGGUUUUUCUGACUGCUUGUUUAAUUUUCUUAAUUAAUUAAUUAGUUGUCCAGCUUGUCGUUGUUAUCUUGAUUAAAUUAAUUAAGCCCAAUUAUUAGCACACGAAGAGGGAAAUAUCACUAAUUUAUUAUUUGCAGGAUAGGUGAAACUCGUGAAUUAGUCUUGGUUGACAACUACUUUUUUAAACUUUGAAACCAAGGUCAAAUAUGAUAUGGAUUUAAUUCACAUCUUAUGUUGAGGUAGAAAAAUGUGGAAUGAUGAAAAAUAUAUAAAAAAACAGAGAAAGUAAUAAUGUAAUAGGUGAUUAGAUUGAAAAAUUAAAGUUAAAUAGAAAAUAAUUAAAGGUGGAAAUGAAAUGUACGUAUAUAUGAGAUUUAUAACUUAUUAUUUAAUUAGUUAUUCAUUUUUAGUUUCUCCGCUAGGUCUUUAAGAACUAGACAUGCAAUUUCAUUUCAUUUAAGGUGUUAUAUACUAUAUAAUUAUAUAGUAUAAGAGAUUGUCUAAUGUACCACAAGGUCAUAUAAAUUUUAAGCUAAUUAACUUAGGUAGAACUUGAAUUUUAAGGUUUAAGGUGUUUGAAUCAUAAGUUUAAUUUUUUUUUUGUUACAAUCAUAAGUUUAAUUUAAAGUGUGCAUAACUGCGCGCAUAUCUUAAUAGUAAAGGAAAAUACUAAUGUAUAAUAAUGUGGUUCUUCUAUACGUACAUGCAUAGUUUGCUAAAUAAACUCUAAGCUAGUUAGGUGUUAACAGCUGGAAAUUAGGUGAAGUUGAUUGCUCUUCUCUCUUCUAAACAAAAUUGAAGAUGUAUAUGUUGGUCUUGGUCCAUCUGUCCCUGUUCACGCUGUUCUUCAUGACUGGAUUAGGCACACAGAUGGAAAGUUGAGCUUCCUUGGGUUUGUUAAAUUGUUGCAUGGUCCAUCUCGAAGUCUUGCAAGACCUCAGUAGAAAGUUCAGAAACCAUUCACAAGACCCAAGCAUGCUCAAUCCUCAAUUAUAGUACUCUGAUUAUGUGGCCAAUAAAAUACUGGUCCACACAUCACAUUCCUAUCAUCAAGGGAUCUUCACCACUGUUUGAUUAUACUCAGCAUAUAUAAAUCAUCUGGGGUUCGUUCCCGCGUUUUAUAAGGUUGAAGCACUUCUACGCUUGGAGCAGGAGUCAAAACCUUCUCCCACAGGCAUUUAUAUUUUCCACUGUAAAGCUGUUGUGUGCUAUAGUUUGUGAUUGUUAUUAGAUGAUUAACAUUCUAACAUGUUAUGAGAUUCACAAUUGUGGAGUAUCAUUCUUGUCGACGGUUGAAUGAAAGAAGUUUUCAGAGCUCUGGCUUUCAAAAAUUAAUUUGUUGGAAGGUUUCUUUCAAGAGAAAAAGUUUCGUGUGCCAAUAUAGUGUAAAAUUCUUUUACACCGUUAAUCAAUCAGAUUUUGUGAAUAUGAGAAUGAUGAAUUUUUUAUUUAAUUAAAUUGAUCGAUAUGACAAAUUUUUUAAAUCUAAUUGGUUGACGCUGUAAAAAAAACUUUACACUGUUAGUGCAUCAAAAUUAUACUCUUUUUUAAAUUGAAUAAAACAAUUACAUUUGAGGUCAAAACUUUGAACGAAGGAAGAAUUAAUGAAGGUCAAAUACCAAAAUGAGACAAUUUUACAAUGAGCUUGUAUACCACAUUAUAUUGGUCAUAUUUCUUUUUAUAGAGAAAUCGAAGAAGACAUUCCAAAAUAACAAUUAUUCGGAUAUCUUUACCCUUGGCCAUGAACCUCCUUUGGGUUUUUUGAAUAAUCAAUUUUGUAUUCAAAUAUAGCAGGGGUGCUAAUCCAAAUACAAGAGAAAAAGAAGAAAAGACCAAGAAAAUUAAAACCAGAAAAAUUAAAAAGAGACCAAAAGUAAGUAGCCAAAGAUACAACAGCCAUGCUAAAGUUGAUUAUUAGUGGUUAUUAUUAAUUAUUUUAUGGUUGAUUGAGUUAAAUCAGUUAUUUUAGAAUGUAAUUUUUGGAGCUAGUGUAGAUUGUAUGAUGUGCUUUGUUGGUGUGUAGUCAGAUCCAAUGUCUUAAUUAAUCGAGUGGAUGAGCUUCUACUCAAGGGGAAUAUUAAAGACCAUAGACUUGAGCUUUCUUCCAUGUAAAUUUGAGUUUAAGAGCUCAUGACUGUCAUAUUGCUUCGAUAUUUUUUAAAUUGACUCCAUUUGUUUAAUUUAAAUCAACACGCUUACCCAGGUAUCAUAUUUGUAGAAUUUGGAAGUGCAGAUACAAAAUGUAAGAGAAUGUGAUGAGCGUGUGACCGGUCCAAAAUGCCUUAAAAGUGAUGAUGGAGAAUUCUAGAUAAAUUUAAAUGGUUGGGAAUAUAAAUGAAUCCAUUGAAUUUCUUGAACUGCAAAAAAGUUGUUCCGAUAAAAUGAUUUAAAACCCUCAAUUGUAAAAUUAUUUGUUUCGUUUGUAUUACUUAAUUGAAUUUCCUUUAUUUAUUUAUUAUUUAUUUUCUAAAAUAAUGAUCAUUUCCAUUUAAAAACUUUUAAAAAUUAAAUUUUGUUGAUAAAUAAAUCAAAUUAAAAUUUUCAUUCAUAAUUUUUUUAUCAUAGCUGAAAAUUCAUAAAAAAUAAUUAUAUUCAAAUAAAGCAUUUAAUUAGUUUAUAACUAUAUUACACUCUUUUAUAUUAUUUAUAUACAAAUACAAUAAUUAAAUAUCUUAUAUUUACAAAGUCAUUUUUGUUGCAUCGAUUUAAUGUCAAAUAAUAGUGUCGGCCAUUUACAUUGAUGCUAAAUUUCACUAAUUAGCAUCAGCCAAAUCAAUAAAAAGACGAAAUUAAUUACACAAUGUUGGUUGAGAUGCUAUUAGUAUUGGGUUGAAUUUUUGUUAAAAUCAUCGAUCAACUAAGUGUCUGUUUUAUGUCAAUUAGCGACGGUUCAUAACUGACUCAAACUUCACCGACCAACUUAGCAUUGGGUUUGGUCGACGCGCUAUUUAUGAGUACCUAUUUAUGAAUACAAUUAAAAUUAAUUUUAAUACCAAUUUGAUUCAAUUAAAACUUACAACAUGUAUCACACAAAAUAAACUGCCUUUCAAAAACGAAAAUGAAACACAUAACAUGAGUUAGAUACAGGCAGAGCUGGGUACACGGGUUGCCCGCCCCGCGUAGGCCCGCAUUUAAGCGGUUCUCUAUUUUUCGGGCUAUAGCUCACACUAGUUCGCGGGCCAUCUCGCAGACUUCGGCAUCUCUUACCCAUUUUUUGCCUUUGUAGUCCGCCCCGCGCUAGCCCAGUCCGCGUAGGCCCGCAUUUUAGCGGUCCACUAUUUUUCGGGCUAAAGCUCGCACUAGUCCGCGGUCUUGCGUCCCGGCCCACAGACUUCAACACGCUUACCCAAGUGAAUAUAAUGAGAUUUUAAAAUAUAUAAGAAUGAGCACUCGAAUUUAAUAUAUUGGAGUGCUAAAAUAAAAUAACUUUAAAAUCCUGUAUUCUCUAGAAAUUGAGAAUAAAAAUUAAACAAGCUAACAAUAUAAUACAAUUACAAAAAUCAAAGCAAAGGAUACAAGGUCGGAGCCUAAGCCAAACACCCCAAGUGCAGGGUCUUACAAAAAAAAAACUUGACCAGUGAUUAAAAUUAGUCACAUUUCCUCUUCAUAUGUCCAUUCCGGCUGGUCCAAUGACAUUUCAGACUAUUAAGCUGAAUUGCGUUGGGACUUCUGGGCCUUGGCCCACUUAUUACUAAUGAAUUGUGUUUUGGUGACCAAAAGAAAGUUUAGUUGGCCCUCCAAUUAUAGAUAAAAAUAAGAGGCGGAAAAAAUAAUAAUAUAAGUGAUUUUAUAUGGGACCCGAAAGAAACCGCUCUGCUAAAGUUUACAAAGUUGUUCUCCUUCUACCCCUUGGGGGCUUCUCCCCCAUGGGGGAUCUUUCUCCUCCAUUAGGGGGUUUAUUCCUAGUAAUCUUAGGUGUUUUCUCACACAUAUGUGAGUUUUCUACCACAUUAGGUGGUUUUCCACCCAAAUAAGUGAGUUCUUCCUCUGUUCCCUUGCUUUGCCAUCUAUCAACCGCCCUCCGUCGUGUAUUCAUCACCAUCCACCCACUAUUAGCACUAGAUCUGAGACCAUUAACACCCAUGCCCCUUCUUCCCUCAUCGUCAGAUCUGCGCCCUCCACCGCCUCCUAGCCAUCGGCAGAUCUAGGCCAACGCCACUGCAUCUGGUCGUCAGCAGCAACCACCUCCUCUGCACCCGCAACGCCAUUGGCGACCUCAGUCACCAGUCACCACGCAGAACCAUCUGUUUACCACCACCCUCCUAUGCAGGUCUCAGUUCAAGCUACAAUGAUGCCUCCUACAACGACCUUUACUGUGCCACCGUGGCUUCAGGUUCUACAAAUGCCUGCUUCCUCUUUUGUUUUCAGACUUCCUGAUUGUCUCUGCUAAGACGUUAUUGAAGCCAUGUUCCAGGGCGUCCCUGUUGUUAGCAUUGGUUACAACUCCGGCAGAGCCGAUGAGUUAUCUAUUUGGAGUGUCGUUUAAAGAAGUUGAAAAAAGUUUUAACCGCUCCAGGCUGGAUCAUGUGUUAAUUUGUGGGGUUUUGUGGUUAUCUAUAACCUUUAGGGUUUUGCUUAAUUCAUGUUUUAACUAGUUGAACCAGAGUGAGCCUGCUUGCUCUUCAUUUUCUUAUCUUUGUGCAUUGCAAAAUCACUUUUUGAGAUUUUAUUCCACAUGAUGUAAGUGUCAUUUGGCAACCUAUUUGGAUGUUUAAUCUAAACACCUUUGACAAACAAAAAGUGAUUAUAUAUGAAACAAAAAAUUGAUGCAAGAUAAUCUACGUGGACACAACCUGCUGACUAGACUAGCCACUGGACCGUUGACCGGUCAAAAUUGAACAAAAUGACUUAAUUUGAUAAAAAAAUUAUUUCAGGGAUUUUAUUUUCAAAGAAAAUUUUACCAGGGACCCAAUUUUGAUUCCGUUUAAAAGCCCAUGAACCAACAUGAUAUUUAAACCUAAAAAAUAUGGAGUAGAGUGUAUGUGAAUGAAUUAAAACUAUUAUGCGUGCACAACAGCUUCUCACGACACAUAAAAUGGAAAUAAAAAUAUCUCCAAAAUGAUAAUCAACGAGAUUUAUUGACAAUUUGAACAUAAAACUCAUAUAUUAAGAACCAAUUACGUUUUGUAGCAGUUACACAACUUUCAUAUUUCAUUCUUGUAACACAAAGUUUUACUUAAUAUAAAUGAAUUAAUAAAACAAGAAAAUACAAUUGAAUGAAAGAAUUGAAAUACAAUUGGAAUGAAUUAGCUGCUCUGCUUCAACUAAUUAACAUUGUGGCAUGUCUAAUGGUGGUGGGAGCAUCUUCUCUUCAGGGUUAUUACCAUCCUUCACAAUGAAAGUCAUAGCCAUUCCCCAACUGACAUGUCGCUCUAUAUGGCAAUGCAUGAACCAUACACCUGAUAUACCGAAUAAAUACUUAGAAAACCACCUCUUGAAUGGAAAAAUAAAAUCAAAAUUAAAAGUUAAUCAUCAAUAAAUAUUAAUUAACAAUUUACAAACCUGGAUUUUUAGCUCUGAAUCUUAUGGUUGUCCAACCGUUUUUUGGUAUAGCUACGGUAUUCUGAUAAGGAGGGUCAACAAGAUUAUACCCUAAUGGAUCCUUUUCUUUGUCAAAGUUCCCAAAUCCCCAUCCAACCACAUAGAAACUCGUGCCAUGCAGGUGCAUAGGAUGCUCUAUACCUGCAAACAAGUUAGUCGCCUGAAGAACAAUCUCCACUGUUGAGUCAUACUCAAGCACAUUCACCUCUGUAGAAACUGAUGGAGUAUUCAGAAAUGCUGGAAGAUUACUACCAGUGAAAUCAUAAGACAAAAUUGGCACAUUAGGGAAAUUUUCCCCAAACACACCACUAAUGUUGUUGUAGUAAGCUUGCAAAAUGUUGUUGCCUGUUGGCAUUUGAAAGCUCACGUUGUUCAUGCUAGCUGAGAGACGGUUUCCAUUGGGGCCAUCACAUGUUGAAUUACCAUUUGGAUCACAAGGUAAUGUGUUAACUGAGAUUGUGAAGAACAUGUUUGUUGUUAUGUUUAAGGGAACAUCAAUUGGGUGUUCUUCAUCAAUUAAACUUUUCAGUUCACUUAUGAUAUUAAUAGAGGAGUUGGUGUCUCUUGAAUUUGGAAGUGAGGGCCAAGAAGGGGUGCUUGAAGUUGAAAUAUAAUUCCCCUUGUAUUGCACUAUAGCAGUGGUUGUGGUGUUAUCAAAGGGAACGCCAAGUGCACUUGAAUAUGCUUUGGAAGCCAUGUAAUAGUUAUCUAAUGGUUGGUUUGCUUCUAGUAACACAUCCAUUGUUUGUCCAGGAGAUAUUGUUAUGUAAUCUACCUUCAAUGGCUUUACAUAACUGCCAUCAGUUCCUACCACUGUGAGUUGAUGUUUGGAAAUUGCAAAGAACAACAUUUCUUGAACUACAGCAUUAACCAUUCGAAGAAGAUAUGUUUUGCCAUAAUCAACCCUAAGCUUGAAUGUUUCUGCAAUUUCAAUAACAAAAAGUUAUUCAAACAUGUUAGUGAUUAUAAGAAUCAAUAAAGGUUAUUAGGAUUCAUGUUAAUUGGUUCUAACUCUAGUUAGCUAAGUUUGAGGACUGUUCUACCAUUUAUAAGAUUGUAUUUUGUCAUAUCUCUAGUCAAUGUGAGACCUCUCAUAAACACACCUCAUACCCAUACCUGGACAUGUGAAGUGUGAAGUUUGUAGGGCUGACAUUUGCGGAUGGUCGGGUGGCGUAAUAAACAUAUAUAAGAUAGUCUCUGAUACCAUUUUAAAAAUUGGGUAGAACUAAUCAAUGCAAUGAGCUAUCAUGCAUAAACAAGGUCACUACAUACCGUUCUUUGAACAUGGAUAUAGAUCACCGGGAUGACCAUUAAUUGUGUAAGCAUCAGAAACUACAGGAGCUCCUCCAGAUUUCUGAAAAUCUUUAUGAACCUCAACAACAUCUUUCUUCCACCAUUCACCUAAUAUAAUGGGGACCUCUUUGUGGGGUUUUGGAAAUGGAUAAGUAGUUCCAAGCUUAGGUUGUACCACAAUAGCCCCAUGAACGGUGGCGCGAGACCAGUCACUGUGAGCAUGCCACCAUAGCGUGCCUUCUUCUUCAGAAAAUAUGACCUUCUGAUUGAACUUCCCACCGGGUUGAAUCGGACAUUGUGUCACAUAUUCAGGGCCAUCUGACCAUGGAUAUCUUGGUUGGUUGACUCCAUGCCUGAAUAUAGGGUAGUUAUAGAAAAGUUUAUACCUAGACAUUCGAAUUUAUAUGAAAAAAAAAUUACAAACUCUAAUAAUAUAUACGGUGGUUGGUUACCAAUGGAUUGUGAUGUUGUAGUUAGCUCGGUUAUAGACAUGAACAAUAAUGGUUUCUCCUUUGGUCACAUAAAGAGUUGGCCCAGGAAACUGCCCGUUUACGGUCAAGAUGUUUUUUGUGCUGCAAAGUUUUGUGUACGAAACUUCUCUCACCUGCGCGCAUGCAGUUAUAUAUCAAAGCAAAUCAAAUUUUUUUUUUUGGAUAAGCCAAUUGUAUAUAAAUAAAGUGCACCAGGGGUGCCGUAAAAGUAUAAUUACACACUCACAAAACAUAAACAAAAAAACAGCAAGACUAUUUACAGGUGAGAGAACAGAGCAAACAGAGAUAAAGAGGUAGCAAUAGUAGUGGUCCAAGCAUCAGGAGUAUGAGCGCCUUCGUCCCAAGGCCUUCAGAUUCCCCUUUUAACACUGAUAUAUUACUAAACCACAAAAUCCAUUAUAUCAUAACCACAUAUCAAUAUAUAGUAGAUAGCUUUUGUUUUGAUAUAUAUAACAACCACCAUUGAUAAAUUAUAAAGACAUGUAUAUACAAACAUCAUUGAUCAUAAUAUAUAUUAAUUUAUAAUGUGUUAAAAGCAGAUAGCAUAUAUACCUCAAACUUGUGAUGCCUCAGUGCCAGACAAGUGAGCAGGAGAUUGAUGAACAAAAAUAGCAAAACUUGGAGGAAUAGGAUUUUCAUACUUGAGUUGUAGAUGCGUGAUGAUUAGUUUGAGUUUGUGUUUGAAUGUGAAUGUUAGAUAUUGGAUGAGAUGGUUAUGCUACAUGCAUAUAUUAAUAGUUAAAUGUUAACUUUGACAUAGCAGGCUAUGAUUACGUGCAGGGGGGAC
This 16757-nucleotide long non-coding RNA is filed under the name Lotus japonicus. RNAcentral describes it as "long non-coding RNA (LJAP_LNC002091)". The record is from RNAcentral. Lineage: Eukaryota; Viridiplantae; Streptophyta; Magnoliopsida; Fabales; Fabaceae.